CCCCAGAGCAGCCUCAAGGUCCCCAAGGUGUCCCCAGGGUGGUCCUGGGGUCCUCGAAGUUCCCAGGGUGGCCCCAAGGUGGCCCUGAGGUGGCCCUGAGGUGGCCCUGGGGUCCUCAGAGUGGCCUCAGGGUCCCCAAGGUGUCACCGGGAUGGCCCCAAGGUGGCACCAGGGUGGUCCCAAGGUGGUCCUGGGGUCCCCAAGGUGGCCCCAAGGUGGCCCCAGGGUCCCCAGGGCAGCCUCAAGGUCCCCAAGGUGUCCCCAGGGUGGUCCUGGGGUCCUCAAAGUUCCCAAGGUGGCCCCGAGGUGGCCCUGAGGUGGCCCCGGGGUCCUCAGGGUGGCCCCAGGGUCCCCAAGGUGGCACCGGGGUGGCCUCAAGGUCCCCAAGGUGGCACCGGGGUGGUCCUGGGGUCCUCAAAGUUCCCAGAGUGUCCCCAGAGUGUCCCUGGGGUGUCCCAAGGGUCCCCAGAGUGUCCCCAAGGUGUCCCCAGGGUGGCCCCAAGGACAGGCAGCGACCCCCAGGCUGGGGACAAGGGGCUGGAGGUCCCCAAAGUGUCCCCAAAGUGUCCCUGGGUCCCUCUGUGGGGACAGGGGGUGACCUGAGGGUCCCCAAAGUGUCCCCCAGUCUGGCCAGUGACCCCCUGGAUGGGGACAAGGGGCUGGGGGUCCCCAAAGUGUCCCCAGAGUGUCCCCAGAGUGUCCCCAGACCCCUCUGGCGAGGACAGGGGGUCCCCAAAGUGUCCCCAGGUCCCUCUGGGGAGGACAGGAGGGGUCUGGCUGUCCCCAAAGUGUCCCCAAAGUGUCCCCGUGGGAGCCCGCGGUGUCCCCGGGGCUGUGCGGAACUCAAUAAACUCCUCCCAGUUCCUCCCAGUUCCUCCCAGUCCCUCCCAGUUCCUCCCAGUUCCUCCCAGUUCCCCCCAGUUCCUCCCAGUUCCCCCCAGUCCCUCCCAGUUCCUCCCAGUUCCUCCCAGUCCCUCCCAGUUCCUCC
Molecule: long non-coding RNA, 988 nt
Filed under: Cyanistes caeruleus (blue tit)
Lineage: Eukaryota; Metazoa; Chordata; Aves; Passeriformes; Paridae
Description: lncRNA (ENSCCEG00000000811.1)
Source: RNAcentral